RNAcentral lists this ribosomal RNA (459 nucleotides) under uncultured bacterium. RNAcentral describes it as "partial 16S ribosomal RNA". It matches the Rfam family "Bacterial small subunit ribosomal RNA", at positions 338 to 795 of the family's 1533-position model. The record is from RNAcentral.
CCUACGGGAGGCAGCAGUGAGGAAUAUUGGUCAAUGGUCGGGAGACUGAACCAGCCAAGCCGCGUGAGGGAGGAAGGUACAGAGUAUCGUAAACCUCUUUUGUCAGGGAACAAAGGCGGGGACGUGUCCCCGGAUGAGUGUACCUGAAGAAAAAGCAUCGGCUAACUCCGUGCCAGCAGCCGCGGUAAUACGGAGGCUGCGAGCGUUAUCCGGAUUUAUGGGGUUUAAAGGGUGCGCAGGCGGUCUGUUAAGUCAGCGGUCAAAGCCCGGGGCUCAACCCCGGCCCGCCGUUGAAACUGGCAGUCUCGAGUUGGAGAGAAGUAUGCGGAAUGCGCGGUGUAGCGGUGAAAUGCAUAGAUAUCGCGCAGAACUCCGAUUGCGAAGGCAGCAUGCCGGCUCCACACUGACGCUGAGGCACGAAAGCGUGGGUAUCGAACAGGAUUAGAUACCCGAGUAGUC